AGCAAAGGAGGUUGAGGUCGAAGAGGCGCCAUGUUGGUUAAGGGCAGGGCAGUGGCCGUUCAGGACUUUUUCAGAAGAAAGCUAGCAAAGCUCUAGCGUUUUCACAUAUUCCAGAAGCCUCUCUUGGCGUAGCACUGAAGGGCUUUUCCAUGAUGCCUCCCGAGGAGGCCGGGCGUGAGAAAGCAGCCCUGGGGUCGUGAACUUCGCGGACGUGGCCGUGUACUUCUUCUGGGGGACUGGGGGUGUCGGCGGCCAGCGCAGAGCGCCCUGUACCGGGACGUGAUGUGGGAGACGUACGGCCGACUGGGCGCUCUCGGAUCCGGGGAUGACAGUGAGGAAAAAGAACUGAACAAGAGUCCAAAACAAAGAGACGGCGCAUGAGGAAGUGUCUCUCGAGGAGUGGUUACCAUCCAGCAGGCCACCUGGCCCCAGUCACAAAGCCACCUGCCCAGAGCUCUACUGGACUCUGGGAAGAGCCCGAUCUAGCCUUGGUUCAAGGACAUUACAACCCACAAAUCACCCUACUCUUGCCCAAACUGUGGCCACAACUUCAGCUACCCCUCCCUCCUGGCCAACCUGGGGAGCGGCCCUGCCAGUGUGACCAAUGCCAGGCUCGUCUCUCCCAGUGCAAACAUCUGCUCCAGCAUCAGCUCUUCCACACAGAGCAUUCUGCUUUCUGGACUGUAGCUCUCCUGUUCCUCAGAGAUGAGAUCCUCUGGACGCAAGAGCCUAUGGAAGGAGCCUGCACCCUCUCCGAGGACCCUCUGAAAUAGAGGGCACACCUUGGGCCCAUCCCCAGUGGGGGAAGCUCAUCCAAGGAUUCUUUUAGCCAGUGCAGAUAUUCACAUGUUCUCUGGAUUUUACACCUUCUGAAUAAAGAUGUGUUCUUGGACCACAGCAGGCGGAAACAAAAUGCUGGGACUUUUGUUUAAAAGAAAGAGUAAAUUACCGGUGAUAAGGGUUGAAAUCAA
Molecule: long non-coding RNA, 971 nt
Organism: Panthera uncia (snow leopard)
Lineage: Eukaryota; Metazoa; Chordata; Mammalia; Carnivora; Felidae
Exons: 4
Source: RefSeq, a predicted model, not a curated record